AAAAAAAAAUCCAUUUCAAUGCAGUUAUUUUAAGUAAAAAUAUUGCUUCAAGAAUUAGACCCUCAAUGCUCAAUUAUCCUUUAUAUAAAGAGUUGUAUGCCACUGAUUUCUUCAUAAGUGUCUUUUUAAAAUAAUCUUGAAUAAGUUCUGAGACAUGUAUAUACACAUCAAAUCCUUUAUGAGGUAAAAUAAAAUAACAUGGUGAUGAACAAGUGAGAGUGAGUACCCAGUACCCUGCGGUACCCAGUGCCCUUUUCAUUUCAGAUGAAACUGUAGAAAAUACUUUCUGGGGUUUUUUCUGUGUGGCGGUCAUUCUCUAGUGAAAUUGUCUGUGGCAGGUUUUGGUCGGUGGUGUUGAUUUAGCCUGUAUCUGUUGGAGUAUACUUUUUACCAUUUUGACAAGAGAGAAGUGACAAGUGGUUACCCCACGUGGCGUGGGUGUGCUGAGAUGGGAUGGCGGGCAGCCCUGCCGGCACGGAUCGCCCGCUUGCUGAGCUCUUGCCAUACCUGGUGUCCUGGGGCAGUGCAGAGCUGCCUGAAGUAUAUGCCAUCUGGCCCUGCAUCAGCUACUGUUGGUAUCGUGGAGGAGACAAAGUCCUCAAGUCUAACGGGAGACCUGGAGUGCUGCUCGUACAGUGCCAGGAGGAGAGCUGAGGAAGGGGGCCCUGAGGACAGUAGCACUCUGAGGAGGAGGUGGUGGGGAAAAAAGAGGCCAUGAAAGGAGAGGGUGGGAGUACAGAUGGAGAAAAUGGCGAGAAAGGAGGAAGGAAAGUUCAGGAAAUGUGCAGGGAGUGAAGCCAGGCGGGCCAGGGCAUUGCUGGGGAGGGACGAGGUCCCUGCGGAAACCAGCUGGGAAGGAGGCUGAGGUGGAUUUGUGGAGGGUCUGAAAUUCAUGGUGAUGUUCCUGCACUGCCAAAGGGGAAUCAGCCUUUUUUUCUCCUUUGAGAGAACAGAUGAGGGUUGAAAUUAGAACUGUGUUUUUAAACUAUAUUUUAGCAACCUUUAAAAUAUAUGUAUAUAUAUAUUAAGUAGAGUCAUAGUGCAUAAUAUAACAACAAAAUCGGAGCCUUAACUCUCACCUUCUUCUGGGCCUCAGGAACCCCGAGCUCAUGGGAAAAGUCUUGAGGAUCUCCCCAUCAGGAAGGUCACGGAGGGACUGCAGGAGCAGGGAGUUGCUAGAAGGAAGAGACCUGCCAGGCAGCUAUUGUACAUGGAGGGGAUGGGACCCAGUGCAGGGAACAGAAAGGAAGUAGGUGUGAGAAACGUUGCCACUCUCACCUGGACCAAGUGCGAUAGCUGAUUGGCUGCAGGAGAGCUGGGGGCGGGUAUUCGGUAUGAGAUCCACAGGCUGCUGGGAAUGCAAAGAGCCAGGAAGACAGGAAGAAAAGUUGAUGGGAGGAGGAGGAGACACCAGAGGGGUCGGCUCGGGUUUCAGGUGUUCGGGGCCACCUCAUAUGAGAUGCUUGAAAUAAUUGGACUGUGACUCAGGCGACGGGUCAGCCUGCUGACAGAUUUGGGAGGCUGCUGCGUGGAAGGGGAAUUUGAAACGUGGGCUGGAUCAGCACGGAGGAUUGGGCAGGGAGAAGGCCAAGGCUCAAGUGGAGAAACAGCCAUCAAGUUUAAAGUAGGAAGGAGGGAAGAGCCAGCAAAGGGGGUGGUGAGCGGUGAUAGGAAGACAGCAAGCCAGGCACAGCGGUCAGGGACGUCAGUGAUGACCAAGAAGCGGCCUCCAGGAGAGGCGAAUGUUACAGGUGCCUUUCCCCGUGAGGUCUGGAAGAAAUACUGGCUUGUAACCUCGCAGGCCACUGUACCCCUUGAGUCUCAAUUUCUUUGAGUCAAAUUGGGGUCAUUUUCUGCCCUACCAGCCCCAUCUGCCCUUGUGUGACGAUCAAGUAAGAUAAGUGUAAAACCACCGGCCAUCUGCUCCAUUCCAGCUGUAAUAGGAACUAGACUGUGGACAGUGUUGAUGUGAGGCCUCCAGGGAAGAGGAUUAAAGUAUAUCGGAGCUCUUGUUCCUUUGUUCAGGCUUGACACAGUCUCCUUUGUCACCAGGUUUGUUAACCACAGGAGCACUGAGCUUCUCAGACAUCCCACACCUUUGUGGGAAAUACCUGUUGGGAAGUAUUUUUGACACACACUGUGUGCAUACAUUGGGAAGAGCUCUCUAGUGGCUAUUUUUUUUUAAUAGGCAUUUGACAAGAUUAUUGCCUUAAGGCGACAGUGAGAGCUAAUGCUUCUGUAGCUCCUAUUCUGUUCCAGAUACUGUUCUAAAUACAAGUAACGCAUUCGAUCCUCUCAGCCAACCCUAUGAGGUAGAUAUUGAGAAAAUUAGUGCUCAGAGAGGUUCAAUAACUUGCCCAAAGUCCUAGAGCUAGUGAGUGCCCAAGCCAGGUUGGAACCUAGAAUCCCGGCUCCAGAGCCAGUGCUCUGAACCACUGUGGAAGAAUACCAGGCGGGCUAUGACGGCAUGCAAGCCAGGCACACAGCCUGUGCUAAAACCGUCUGUGAAAGGAGAGAAGACUGCAUUGGUACAGUCAGAAGACUUGAUGGGAGAGGUGGAUGUCAGCCAGAUCCUAAUGGAUGGGUGUUGAUUAGUAAGCACUAUACUAUGCUCUCCAACCAAGCUAGAACCCUCAUCUUAUUCAGGAAGGCGAUGUCAUAACCACUCCAUCAAGCUGGGAUCAUUAUGAGGACAGUCAGUGGGCCAUACGAUUGGAGGAAAGCAUUCCGGGCAAUGUGAUGGGAAGAGCUAUGAGAGCCCAGGGAUGAAGUCAAGGUGACUGUGCCACCUGUUUGCCCAGUGUGGCCCCACCAUCCCGCCAUCCCAGUGUGACUACUAGAUAGUUCCCCCUUUUACUCUCAAGUGUCCCAGUUUGAAUGACAAAUCAUGAGUUUGAGGAAGUCUGCCAAACAUUGAAAUCAUUUGCAGAGUGUCACAGAUGUGUGCGUUGUUUCUGGGCAUAGGUCCCUUGUUCAGAACAUGCCCUAAGGGGGCCAUCCCCAUGGCGUAAGGAGUUUGGUUUUUGUUUUUUGUUUUUUUAAGGAAAAUGAGCCUAGCCUUUGUGUGCAGCACAGAAUCCAGUGGGGGAAGUGCAGCAGGUGUUGGUAGGAGGCUCCGGAGAUAAGGCCUGUACCAGGUGGGAGGGGAAGGCGGGCCCCCAAGACUGCAGAGGUAUUGGUGGUGAUGUUUAUCUGAAGCUGGGAGGUGGUUGCCUUAGUGUCCACUUUAUUAUACCUUCCAAAUACGACUCACAUGCUUAUUAUGCACUACUGUAUCGUAAAAGUAGAUGAAAAACCACCUGAAGAAGUAUGUACAUGGUCCAGAACACGGGCUCUGGAGUUCCUGUGUGACUUUGGACGAGUUGAUCACCUUAAACCUCUACUGCUCAUUUGUGAAGGAGAGAGAAUAGCAACACCUGUCCAAGGAUUUCGAGGAUUUGCAACAAUCCACGGUUCAACAAGGGUGCACAGAGACCCAAGAGUGUGGAAGAGGAAGCCAUAGAGUGAUGGAAUAAAUAACUGGUUUCCUUGAAAAUGAAUGGCAAAGUCAUCUGGUACAUUUUCCCUCCUUUUUUUAGCACUAAGUUCAUUGACCUGACUACUCAGAAAAAAUUAAAACAUGAUGAUAUCAA
Homo sapiens (human) is the source of this 3632-nucleotide long non-coding RNA. RefSeq lists it as uncharacterized. The transcript is spliced from 2 exons. NCBI's taxonomy places the organism in Eukaryota, Metazoa, Chordata, Mammalia, Primates, Hominidae. The record is from RefSeq and is a predicted model, not a curated record.